RNAcentral lists this ribosomal RNA (576 nucleotides) under uncultured bacterium. RNAcentral describes it as "bacterial SSU rRNA". It matches the Rfam family "Bacterial small subunit ribosomal RNA", at positions 8 to 576 of the family's 1533-position model. The record is from RNAcentral.
AGAGUUUGAUCCUGGCUCAGAUUGAACGCUGGCGGCAGGCUUAACACAUGCAAGUCGAGCGGAAACGAUGGUAGCUUGCUACCAGGCGUCGAGCGGCGGACGGGUGAGUAAUACUUAGGAAUCUACCUAGUAGUGGGGGAUAGCACGGGGAAACUCGUAUUAAUACCGCAUACGACCUACGGGAGAAAGGGGGCAGUUUACUGCUCUCGCUAUUAGAUGAGCCUAAGUCGGAUUAGCUAGAUGGUGGGGUAAAGGCCUACCAUGGCGACGAUCUGUAGCUGGUCUGAGAGGAUGAUCAGCCACACCGGGACUGAGACACGGCCCGGACUCCUACGGGAGGCAGCAGUGGGGAAUAUUGGACAAUGGGGGAAACCCUGAUCCAGCCAUGCCGCGUGUGUGAAGAAGGCCUUUUGGUUGUAAAGCACUUUAAGCAGUGAAGAAGACUCUUCGGUUAAUACCCGGAGACGAUGACAUUAGCUGCAGAAUAAGCACCGGCUAACUCUGUGCCAGCAGCCGCGGUAAUAACAGAGGGUGCAAGCGUUAAUCGGAAUUACUGGGCGUAAAGCGAGCGUAAGU